ACCACAGUGAUGACACGGGGCCCCAUUGUGGGCGGAACUGUGGCGCCCCAGGGUUCCACCGUUGCCUGGUGCUAGUCUGCGUCCACAGGCAGUUGCAGGCACUCGUGCUCCUGAUCUGGCUCACAGAGCCCGAACUAUCCGACUCUCACCAGUACCCCAGUGUAUAAAGUGUAGGUGCUCACACAGCGACAGGUCACAGCAAGUGAGGGUGAAUUCAGCCCUGUUGUUUAAGUCCAGAUUUACCAGAGAUCACAGCACUUUUAGGCUGGAGUACACAGAGAGUUUAUGCAGCAAUGGAACUGGGAGUAGACUGCAAACAAGCAGCUUAUUGCCAAGGACAUGUGAAACCUGUUAUAUUGGUCAUUCUGGAUCCUAUUCAAGCACAUACUGUUACUAGAUUUCAUUGUUUAUCUGAACUCUGAAAUUAAAGUCUGGCAGGAGUAAAAAAAGUCACUCAAAAUACAGAGGGCAAAGGGACUGGUCAUAACCAAAUGCAGCAGUGUUGAUACAAAAUUGCUCCUGUUGUCAGACACAUCUAACCUGCAUAAGAGUGAUUAGUUUGGAGAAAAGUUCUGUAGAGAUAUAGAAGAUUCCAGGCCUAAUGAAAUGAUUGAUGCAAGCUUUUCAGUUAUUCAAAGAGGUCUGAUGCUGGAAUUAACUAAUCACAUCUAUUUACCAAACCUAAAACUCAAAGUGGCUUUAUGGGGUGUUUCCACUCAGCUCUCCUGUUCAAAGAGAACUAGUUUGAUGUCUUGGGCCUCCUGUCCCUAUGGUGACAUGUGGAUAUGACAGCUACUCAGUCUGCAAACCUGACCCGGAUACUGGAUGAGAUGCUUUGCCUUCCCCUUGGAAUCCCGAUUUCCUCCUGUCUUUAACUCCUGUGUAAAGGCUUUUAUGGAGCAGGGCAGAGGGCAACACAUGGAUUUACAGUGCCAUCCCAACUGGACACUUUUCAGAUUUCCUGUCUCAUCCAACAUGGCCAGAGAGGUUUAGAGAAACACUUCAAGCACAUUAAUUUUUCCUACUGAAUACAUUUAUGAUGACAUCAGAGAGAAGAGAAAAAUAACAGUUUGGAUUUAACUAGCUGCAAGAAACUCAAGUCCGAGCAGUCUGUUCCCUGAACAACUUGGUGAUUCUGUUGAAAUCAGCCUAUUGGACCGUGCUUGCCAACUUUGCUCCAGAAAAUGCUCUUCACAGAAUUCUAGGACUAAAAGGAUAGUGAAGGCCAGCCAUCUGCCCUCCAGCUUUACAGGUGAAGAAACCAAGUUUCUACUCUUCAUCAAAACUUCCAUAGUUGCCUGAUUUUACUGAGUAUUCUUGUCUCAAUCUAGUAAACUGAGUUAUGCUACGGCACAAAUUAUUGUGAACUGCCUAAUACAUCAACUCACCUGAGAAAAUUGCAUCUAUCAAAGAAACUAGAAAGGCAAAUAGUUUCUUCCUUAAAGGGAUAAUUAGAGGAAGGAGAGAGUCAGUCAGUCUGGUAGGAAAGCAAAGGUCUUCCUGGUAUUACUUGUUCAGUUCUACUGCUCAGUCAACUGCUUCACCAUCUACCAAUAACGCUGUCUGGGUACACAGAGGCUAAGAAGGCAAUGAGUUCUGCCUGGAUGUACUUACAGGUCACCGUGAAUGAGUCCAUAGAUCUGUGGCAUGCUCAGAUGAUAGAUUCCUCUCAAAAUCACUAUGAGGAGAAUCACCACAAAAGCUGGAAGGCCCCAACUCAGAAGGAAAAACAGCAGAUAUCGCCGCUCUGUAUGUUCAUCAUUCAUCACCAGCACAUACCAGAAAUUCACAGACUAAGGAAGGAAACAGAACAUAAAAUGAACAAGUUCUGAUCUAAUGGCACAGGACACAAACUCACCUGGCUUGGACAAAGAGUUAUUGACUAACAAAGGGCUAGCUAGCAUUACUUGAUAAUUAUUUUUGGUUUGAUUUUUUUUCAUUAGUUCACAUUUUCAUUCCCUCAUCCACCCAAGAAAUUCAGGAUACCUGCAAAUCUUGAAACACUGAAAAAUAUUUAUUGUACUUUUUAUUUUCCUUAGUUUGCUUUGAUUUAUUCUCAGCUAUAAUCAUCUGUGAUUGUUCUGUGCAUGUGUCUUUUUUUUUAUUUUU
Molecule: long non-coding RNA, 2109 nt
Organism: Canis lupus familiaris (dog)
Lineage: Eukaryota; Metazoa; Chordata; Mammalia; Carnivora; Canidae
Exons: 10
Source: RefSeq, a predicted model, not a curated record